CUGACGACCGCGUCCGGGUCAAUUGCGGAAUGCAACACCCGAUCUCCCUGCUCGUCCCGCCGUCGAUGGCGGUCGAGGAGGGGGAGCGCGUCACAGUCAG
Halolamina sp. CBA1230 is the source of this 100-nucleotide non-coding RNA. The record is from Rfam. NCBI's taxonomy places the organism in Archaea, Methanobacteriati, Methanobacteriota, Halobacteria, Halobacteriales, Haloferacaceae.